AUAAUAAGCUUGUGUAGGGUUCUUGGAGUCCAAUAUGACAAGACUGGUGUGUAUGACUGAGUAUAAGAAAGAUAAAAGCAACCCGGAUCCUGGUUGCUAAAGUAGAGUAGAUGCAAAACAAAAAAAAACUCAUAGGGACUUCGUCCACCCUUACAAAACUUGGGGAAGCCAUAAUAAGCUUGUGUAGGCUUCUUGGAGUCCAAUAUGACAAGAUUGGUGUGUAUGAC
This 227-nucleotide long non-coding RNA is filed under the name Arabidopsis lyrata. Its description in RNAcentral is "long non-coding RNA (ALYR_LNC000288)". Lineage: Eukaryota; Viridiplantae; Streptophyta; Magnoliopsida; Brassicales; Brassicaceae. The record is from RNAcentral.